Molecule: unclassified non-coding RNA, 376 nt
Filed under: uncultured Alphaproteobacteria bacterium
Lineage: Bacteria; Pseudomonadati; Pseudomonadota; Alphaproteobacteria
Description: contains 16S-23S intergenic spacer region
Source: RNAcentral
UCCGGCUUAUCACCGGCAGUUCUCUUAGAGUUCCCGACAUAACUCGCUGGCAACUAAGAGUGAGGGUUGCGCUCGUUGCAGGACUUAACCCAACAUCUCACGACACGAGCUGACGACGGCCAUGCAACACCUGUGUGUGGUCCGGCCGAACCGACGGACUCAUCUCUGAGCCCUACGACCACCAUGUCAAAGGUUGGUAAGGUUUUUCGUGUAACAUCGAAUUAAACCGCAUGCUCCACUGCUUGUGCGGGUCCCCGUCAAUUCCUUUGAGUUUUAAUCUUGCGAUCUUACUCCCCAGGCGGAGUGCUUAAUGCGUUAGCUGCGGCACCGAAAUAAAUCCCGAUACCUAGCACUCAUCGUUUACAGCGUGGACUAC